Molecule: long non-coding RNA, 1254 nt
Filed under: Ananas comosus (pineapple)
Lineage: Eukaryota; Viridiplantae; Streptophyta; Magnoliopsida; Poales; Bromeliaceae
Description: long non-coding RNA (ACOM_LNC011665)
Source: RNAcentral
UGUUCUUAACCAAUCAAAUUGUUCUUUCUAAAGUUCACCUAUUCCACCAUAAUUUUUUAAAAAUAAUUUUAUUAUAUUUUUUAAAAAAAUGUAUAAUUGACUAAACAUAAAUAGGAGUAAUUGUUUAUAUACUUUGAAAAGUUUUCAACUUUCUGAUUUACUUUUCUUAGAAGGCUAAUAUUAAAAAUACCUUUUUAACGUUCCAACCUAUUUCAAAUAUACGCUUAGAGUUAAAUUCUUUUUAUAAACUGUUAGUAAUAGCUGUUAUCUAUAUAAAAUUACUAUUUUACUCUUUCAAAUAUACUCUUCUAUCAUCACCGACUUUUCUUAUUUGUCCUUAAGUUAGGAACACAAAAAAUAUUUUGAUUUUUUAUCUUUUCAAAUAUAUCCUUUUAUCAUCAUCAAUAUUUUUUAUUUGUCUUUAAAUUAAGGUCAAAAGAGACAUUUUAAUUUUUUAAAUUUUGAUAGAUAUUUAACUUACGUUUAAUCUAAAAAACCUAACUGGUGUAACUAUAAAGAUAUUUUGGAAUAACGGAGAAACAUACGAAGAAUAUAUUAGAAAGAAAAAUAAAAUAAAAUAUUUUUAAAGUUUUUGAAAGGUAUAUAGAUGAUUAUCUCUAAAUAAUAUGAUGAACCUAGAACAUAGCAUACGUCAUCGUUUAGGAUCCUAUGUGAUUCAGAGAACCUACAUGUUNCUAAAAAUAAUUUAAUUAUGUUUUUUAAAAAAUGUAUAAUUGACUAAACAUAAAUAAUAGGAGUAAUUGUUUAUAUACUUUGAAAAGUUUUCAAAUUUCUGAUUUAUUUUUCUUAGAAGGUUAAUAUUAAAAAUACUUUUUUUUACGUUCCAACCUAUUUCAAAUAUAUGCUUAGAGUUAAAUUCUUUUAAUAAACUGUUAGCAAUAGCCGUUAUCUAUAUAAAUUUACUAUUUUACUAUUUCAAAUAUACUCUUCUACCAUCACCUACUUUUCUUAUUUGUCCUUGAGUUAGGAACACAAAAAAUAUUUUGAUUUUUUAUCUUCUUAAAUAUAUUCUUUUACCAUCACCAAUAUUUUUUAUUUGUCUUUAAAUUAAGGUCAAAAGAGACAUUUUAAUUUUUUAAAUUUUGAUAGAUAUUUAACUUACGUUUAACCUAAAAAAUCUAACUGGUGUAACUAUAAGGAUAUUUUGGAAUAACGGAAAAACAUACGAAGAAUAUAUUAGAAAGAAAAAAAAUAAAAUAAAGUAUUUUUAAAGUUUUAAAAGGUAAAUAGAUA